GAUGAACGCUGGCGGUGUGCCUAAUACAUGCAAGUCGAGCGAACAGACGAGGAGCUUACUCCUCUGACGUUAGCGGCGGACGGGUGAGUAACACGUGGAUAACCUACCUAUAAGACUGGGAUAACUUCGGGAAACCGGAGCUAAUACCGGAUAACAUGUUGAACCGCAUGGUUCAACAGUGAAAGACGGUCUUGCUGUCACUUAUAGAUGGAUCCGCGUCGCAUUAGCUAGUUGGUAAGGUAACGGCUUACCAAGGCAACGAUGCGUAGCCGUCCUGAGAGGGUGAUCGGCCACACUGGAACUGAGACACGGUCCAGACUCCUACGGGAGGCAGCAGUAGGGAAUCUUCCGCAAUGGGCGAAAGCCUGACGGAGCAACGCCGCGUGAGUGAAGAAGGUCUUCGGAUCGUAAAACUCUGUUAUUAGGGAAGAACAAAUGUGUAAGUAACUAUGCACGUCUUGACGGUACCUAAUCAGAAAGCCACGGCUAACUACGUG
Molecule: ribosomal RNA, 497 nt
Filed under: uncultured bacterium
Lineage: Bacteria
Description: partial 16S ribosomal RNA
Rfam family: Bacterial small subunit ribosomal RNA
Source: RNAcentral